Molecule: long non-coding RNA, 795 nt
Organism: Daktulosphaira vitifoliae (grape phylloxera)
Lineage: Eukaryota; Metazoa; Arthropoda; Insecta; Hemiptera; Phylloxeridae
Exons: 3
Source: RefSeq, a predicted model, not a curated record
AAUUUAUAAAAAGAACUCCAAUUGAAGUUCUACAAGUAUAACAUAUAGCCUGUUCUCAGAAUAGUUCAUAUCAAUUUUGUGGUGGAUUGAUGUGUUAUCAAUAUUUCAUCUGAUAUAAAAUGUCUCUAACUGAGUUGGCAUACUCAAUCCACACACAAUUAGCACAUCCAGACAUGCAACAUGUAGAUGGUUCUUCAGGAAGCUUUGGAUAUUUAGAAGAGGAUUUUCUGAGAUGUAAUAUAUUAAAACUCUUGACAAUAUUUCGUACUGAACAGUACAUAUUUAGUUCUGAAAAAAAAUAGUAGUUUUUGGGUAUCCCACUACCUCUCAAAUGCGGAACCCCUUUGCGCGUCAAAGGAUUGACAGAAAAGUCGAGACACUGCAACCAGGCGACCUAGCCUGGGCUUAGGGAGUAUCGUCCACUGCGACACCGGAACAUGUGACAAAACACAUGAGCAGAUCGGCUUAAUCUUCACUCAGGGAUCAAUGUUCAUCACUGGACACACCACUCCCACUUAUAGACAGCGUGGGCUGCCCUGAAGUAAUGCCUCACGGCAAUUCCAGGGCAGCCCAAAAUAAUGCCAGUCGUGUAAAAAUAAUUUUUUAAGCAGUAAAUAUUUUGCAUUACUUUUUUUUUUUGAAAAUUUUGAGUUUUGGACUAUGAUAAAAGCAUAUAUUUAAUAAUUUGACUCUUAUAAAAAAAAAUAAAAAAUGUUUGAUAUUUUAAAUAUAGCCAUUAAAAAUUUGGACAUUCAAAAUAUACUGUUAAAUUAGAGUAUAAUUUAAUGUAUUGAA